Molecule: small nucleolar RNA, 86 nt
Filed under: Wallacemonas collosoma
Lineage: Eukaryota; Euglenozoa; Kinetoplastea; Trypanosomatida; Trypanosomatidae
Description: C/D box snoRNA B7
Source: RNAcentral
UGCGUGAUGACUACAACCUAGACAAGAGCACAGUUUGAACUGACACUCGCGGAUGUACAUGUCUUUGAGCAAUCUCGUCUGAAACG